Molecule: small nuclear RNA, 107 nt
Organism: Saimiri boliviensis boliviensis (Bolivian squirrel monkey)
Lineage: Eukaryota; Metazoa; Chordata; Mammalia; Primates; Cebidae
Source: Ensembl
GUGCUUGCUUUAGCAGCACAUAUGCUAAAAUUAGAAAGAUACAGAGAGGAUUAGCAUGGCCCCUGUGCAAGGAUCACAAGCAGAUUCAUGAAAUGUUCCAUAUAUAU